RNAcentral lists this long non-coding RNA (2945 nucleotides) under Aquilegia coerulea. Its description in RNAcentral is "long non-coding RNA (ACOE_LNC001480)". Lineage: Eukaryota; Viridiplantae; Streptophyta; Magnoliopsida; Ranunculales; Ranunculaceae. The record is from RNAcentral.
UCGCACACAAGUUAUACAAAAUAAGUUAUUAGUCUCCAUCGAGGCAAAAUAAUUUCUUCACCAACCCCAGCUGUAGCCCAGAUCACCAAAGAAGCACCUCUGCACCUACUAUGAGCACACCUCAGCGAUUGGCAUCUAUGUAUCUUAUAAUUGUGAGAAGAAAAGUCAGAGAUGUUGCGAAAGUCUCUAGCCAUCAUAACUUCAUAUGUAGAGAUUGUAUGUUCUUAUAAUCGUAUUAUGCUUCAUCCUAAACUGAGAUGUAAUUUGUCUAGAUCAUCAAUCUAUUUUUCCAUUUUCACAGAGUAACUCAAGUUAUGAAUCAACUUCUACACAAAAAUGGCCUUCAGAAGAUUACAACUCAUACAUGCACUAUUUAGGCAGUGUAAACUGUACAGAAAUUAAACUAAAGCGAAAAACAUAACAGCGGUAAUUAACUAGGAUGACUACAAAUACACUGUCGCAUUAUCAGAAGUUCAUAACAUAGCGACAAUCACAUCAUACCAAAGCAUGAAGCUGUGCUGCAAAAGGAUGCACAUAUAUAAUAAAUGUGAAUAGUGAGGGAGCUUUACUUCCUAUUUGUAAUUUGAAUAUUCUUGAUGGAAAAGCACCCUAUGUCUGCUCAAUGUGACAGGGUUUCAACCUAAUGCAAGAUAUUCCAUAAUAUUUGAAUUUAUCCAACAUAGCCCUACUUAGGUGUAAACUAAUCUUCACCAGCCAAUGCGCCAUUACUCUGUUGAUAAAAUCCACUUAACAAGCGUGCCAAUACCUAUUGAAGAAUGUAUUUGGGAUGAUCCAUAUAAAUGAGAAAUGUUUGAUUGUUUGAUCAUUGAUGGAAGUGAUUUUCAUACAAAAGCGAGAUCUAUAUAUCGAAAAAUUCAGUUGCAAAGCUUCCAAAAUGCUAACUUGCAGAAAAUUACUUGUAUUCUUUAGUAAGUGUUAUUACCUCUACUGCAUGGUAUUGAGUGGUUUUCUCCAACCAACAACUACUGGACUCAAUUUAGAAGGAAGUAUUGGGGUGGUUUUCGAAAACAACUGUGGCAUAUAAAAGUGGGGUUCAGACUAGUUAGUAAUCUUCCACAUUAUACUAGUAUCAAUCGCAAAUUGGAAGUAUUUUAGUCCCAUUCAUCCGUUCGAAUCAUGAUACAACAUAUUUCUUGAUUCUUUUGGCAGGACAUAAAUUUGCGAAAUAAAACAUAUAUAUAAUAUUCAAAUUUUGCUAAAAGAAUUAAAGAAAUAUAAACACGAGAGAGAGAGAGAAAGAACAAAAACCUUUAUUCAUAAAGGAAAAGCCCACCAGACUACUUAAAAUAAAUUAUCAUACUUUGUAAUAGUGAUUUCUUCAACUUCUUGAUGUUAUUACAUAAGAACAUAGAAGAUGAUAAUGUAAAUUUUAUAUAAAACACAAUCAUUCGACUACCUCUGUGUUAUAUCUAAAUUAUAUAUACCUAGCCGAAUCUUGGACGAAUCACAAUUUUCUUUUUGCCGAGAAACGGCGCAACCCGUUGUGUUUAUAUGCCAGACGCCGAAUUGCUAAUAGCUCCCGGCCUCUAUUGACAGUUUUUGGUGAGAUGAGACUGCUUGGUGUAUAUGUGCAUGCCGCACGCCCAACUGCUAAUAGGCCCCCGCCACCGAUGAUAGCUCUUGGUGAGAUGAAGCUUGGCGUAUAAGCGUAUGCCUCGUACAAGUGUGACCCAAAAUCUUUGAGAUUUCUAACUGAAUUAGUUUCAGGGCAAUACAGAAACACAUCUACAGUAGUUGUCUUGAUUUCAAUACUUAUUGUUGGGAGAAUUUCUCCGUUGUGUCCAACACCUAUUGGUCGCAAGGAAGCGAAGGACCCAGAAAUGUCAGGUCGUCCAAUUGUAAACAGUUUGGACCAAGAAUUGGCAACGGAAUAUUGUUGCAUCACCCAUACCUCAACAUUCUCUCCAGAAUCUCUACCCAAGAUACAAAGUGAUCCAUCUAACUCCCCAACCCUAUCAUAAAAAUUUGGAUGAUUUAUAUCUUUCGGAUACGGAAUCUCACGAAAAAUUUCGUCUUUCAUAUCAAACGACACAAUCCUUUUUGAAUCCAAAUAGUUUGACCCAGCGAAUGCAGUCCAAUGAAGAACUCCAUUGACAAGUGGUGCAGCACAAUCAAAAAAAAAGGUAUGAUAGGGUAUAUCACUUAAGUUUCUCCAUGAGGAAGUGUCUGUACCAAGAGUAUAGACACUGACACGUGAAUUACGGCGAAGUGAUGUAUACUUACAUUCACUAAAACUUAUAACCUUGUACUGAUUAGUAUGUUGAAGAAAACCAAACCCAAAAUUUGUAAUUUUAUCACAACAAUUAGAAUGAUUGGGAGGAGGUGGAGAUGGUAUAUGGAUGUAGUCAUUAGUAAAUGGAUUCCAUACGAAAAACUUGUUGGUUUCAUCCUCUGAGCAUAAGACUAUCAAUCCAUUGCGAAUACCACCAACAGAAUAGGAAUUUGUAGAAAAAGGUAAUUUCAAGUUUAUAGAUUUAUCACAUGCUAAAUUUAAUUCUACAGCAGAAUAAAUAUUGGGUUUGUGUUUGUCUUGAAAAUUUUCCAUACCCAAUGCUAAAAUGGUAGAAUUUUUCUGGUUUGAAUUGGUUAAAUAAGAUUGAGCAAAUUGGGGAUCAGGGUUUGUAAGUAAUUGAAGCCAAGUUUUGUAUACACACCUGAAUCGCAUCAGUGAUUUGAUUGGUAAAAACAAUAGUAUGUCGAUUACUAUUUCAUCCGGAAGAACGCCCAUAUUGAUUGAUCGGAAGAGAAAAACACUAGAGAAGGAAUGGUUGUUUUUUUAAACAGCAGAGAAGACGAAAACAAAUAUAAAUAAAUAGAUAAAUGAGAGAGCUUUAUCUUCUAUCUUUCUAUCUUUCUGUCUUCUAUUUAUAAGGCAGGGACUUUAGGAGUCCCAACUCCAAACUGAAUUGGAGUUUGUAUUUCUA